AUUGAACGCUGGCGGCAUGCCUUACACAUGCAAGUCGAACGGUAACGGGUCCUUCGGGAUGCCGACGAGUGGCGAACGGGUGAGUAAUAUAUCGGAACGUGCCCAGUAGUGGGGGAUAACUGCUCGAAAGAGCAGCUAAUACCGCAUACGACCUGAGGGUGAAAGGGGGGGAUCGCAAGACCUCUCGCUAUUGGAGCGGCCGAUAUCAGAUUAGCUAGUUGGUGGGGUAAAGGCCUACCAAGGCAACGAUCUGUAGUUGGUCUGAGAGGACGACCAGCCACACUGGGACUGCGACACGGCCCAGACUCCUACGGGAGGCAGCAGUGGGGAAUUUUGGACAAUGGGCGCAAGCCUGAUUCAGCAAUGCCGCGUGCAGGAAGAAGGCCUUCGGGUUGUAAACUGCUUUUGUCAGGGAAGAAAUCUUCUGGGCUAAUACCCCGGGAGGAUGACGGUACCUGAAGAAUAAGCACCGGCUAACUACGUGCCAGCCGCCGCAGUAA
This 500-nucleotide ribosomal RNA is filed under the name uncultured bacterium. RNAcentral describes it as "partial 16S ribosomal RNA". It matches the Rfam family "Bacterial small subunit ribosomal RNA", at positions 30 to 523 of the family's 1533-position model. The record is from RNAcentral.